RNAcentral lists this ribosomal RNA (427 nucleotides) under Biomphalaria prona. RNAcentral's name for it is "partial 16S ribosomal RNA". Lineage: Eukaryota; Metazoa; Mollusca; Gastropoda; Planorbidae. The record is from RNAcentral.
AGUUUGAGGAAAUAAUCUCAAAUGAAUUCUGCCCAGUGAUUAAAUUUUUAAAUGGCCGCAGUACCUUGACUGUGCUAAGGUAGCAUAAUCAAUUGGCUUCUAAUUAAAGUCUAGAAUGAAAGGAAAUAUGGGGUAAUUCUGUCUUAAAAGAUUUUUUUUUAAUUUAUUUAAAUGAUGAAAAUAUCAUUUUUUAGAAAAAAGACGAGAAGACCCUUAGAGUUUUGAUUUUUUUUAAUUUUUUGUUGGGGCGACAAGUAAACAUAAAAACUUUACGAUAAUAAUUAAUCGAUUUUUAAUAAGAAUGAUAAAACUACCUUAGGGAUAACAGCAUUAUAUUUUUUUUAUGAUUGUGACCUCGAUGUUGGACUAGGAACUUUAUGGCUAGCCGUCAAAAGAGAUUUGUUCUGUUCGAACAAUUUUAUCCUAC